UGUCAAGCUGUCAGGGUCUUGCUGACUGCCGAAAUCCUCCUCAUUUUGCUCCGAAAAACACUGGCUGUUGCCGGAGAGUUUUGGAGCUUCUCGUCCAGCUGAGAGAGAUUGUGACAGUGAGAGAGGAACAGAAGCAGGAAGUUGGGGGCUGGCUUUUGACACACUUGCUUCCUUUGUGACGUCAAACAUGCUGAGAGUCUGCGUGCUGUCUCUUCCGAGCUGUCUGCUAGAAGAUCUCCUGAAGAGCUCCAAAAGUGAUGCUGCAGAAGAUCAGUCUGCCAAAGCGGAAACCACCAAGAGCCAAAGCACAGUCACCAAAACCUAUGGACUGAUUAUUAUGGUUAUUAAUCCGUUCCUUGAGUAUGAUCUUGUGCUGAAUCAGAGUGCGUACCGAGAGCACCUCCGCUGGUAGUAAAUAUUCCUGGCCUCAGUGGCGCACGCCUGUAAUCCUGUAAUCCCAUUAAAGUGCUUCAGGGGAGUUAGUGGCACAAAGCAGACUGCUCACCCUAAGAAAAUGCCUUAAAAUAAGCCAAGUCCGUCUGCUAGGCCUCUGUUCUCUCUGCUUCUCCAUGGGGGGUUCAGCGUUCGGAGAAGGCAAGGUUGUAAGUCCCAGGUUGACUCGGAUGCAGCAGCACAGCUUAAAACUACUCUUUGUUUGCCGCUGUUUGAAGAAUCCCAUGAAUUUCUACUAAAGACAGUGUGGUCUCAUUUCCUUAGAGCACUCCCCAACACUAAUACUGCACAGAGAGCAGGUCAGAGCUGGACAUGCAGCUCAUUAAACCGGCGGCUCCUCUCAUUCUUUAUCACGCUUCACUUCCAGACAUCAAUCCCCAUGCACCCACACGGAAUGGCCAUUACGGGAUAACCAACGACACUUAUUUCUGUGCAACCAAAUGUUUUUAUUAAAAAAAGGAAAGCAUGCACCAAACUGCCUGAUGAUUACAUAACAUUAUUAAAACUUUAAAAAACAUUAUUCCACAUUGAAGAAAGUGAUGCAGAAUUCACACGAUUCAAAUGUAUAUAUAAUUUCCUCCUUAAUAACACAGUCAAUGCAAAAGUUUAGCCACUCUAGUCAAAAUCAUGCUUGUUGCUUCUUUAAGUAUAAAUAAGUUAACUCAUCCUCUACAAAGCACUUCUACACACUGUAAUACACUAUUACUGUUUAUUUGCUGAAUUUAACAUAGGGGAGAAAAAACAAUGUGGCCUGUGCAAAAGUUAUGGCACAGUUUAUAUUCUGUGUUUUUCAA
Pygocentrus nattereri (red-bellied piranha) is the source of this 1247-nucleotide long non-coding RNA. RefSeq lists it as uncharacterized. The transcript is spliced from 2 exons. The record is from RefSeq and is a predicted model, not a curated record. Lineage: Eukaryota; Metazoa; Chordata; Actinopteri; Characiformes; Serrasalmidae.